This 93-nucleotide transfer RNA is filed under the name Virgisporangium ochraceum. RNAcentral's name for it is "tRNA-Arg". Lineage: Bacteria; Bacillati; Actinomycetota; Actinomycetes; Micromonosporales; Micromonosporaceae. The record is from RNAcentral.
GACCGCUUCGGCGGCCGGAUGCGCUACAUGGUCUCCGGCGCCGCGAAGCUGUCCGCCGACAUCAGCGAAUGGUUCGACGCCAUCGGCCUUCCC